RNAcentral lists this ribosomal RNA (549 nucleotides) under uncultured bacterium. RNAcentral's name for it is "bacterial SSU rRNA". It matches the Rfam family "Bacterial small subunit ribosomal RNA", at positions 41 to 572 of the family's 1533-position model. The record is from RNAcentral.
GGCGGGCCUAACACAUGCAAGUCGAGCGAGAAAGUGGCUUCGGCCAUCAGUAAAGCGGCGGACGGGUGAGUAACACGUAGGUAAUCUUCCUUCGAGCGGGGGACAACGUUCCGAAAGGGACGCUAAUACCGCAUACGUUUCUCGGGACCUCGGUCCUGGGAAGGAAAGCUAGGUAGCAAUAUCCGGCACUCGAUGAGGAGCCUGCGUCGCAUCAGCUAGUUGGUGGGGUAAUGGCCUACCAAGGCUAAGACGCGUAGCUGGUCUGAGAGGAUGAUCAGCCACACUGAAACUGAGACACGGUUCAGACUUCUACGGGAGGCAGCAGUGGGGAAUAUUGGACAAUGGGCGCAAGCCUGAUCCAGCCACGCCGCGUGAGUGAUGAAGGCCUUCGGGUCGUAAAGCUCUGUGGGGAGGGACGAACCGCUGGAUAUUAAUACCAUCCAGCAUGACGGUACCUCCUUAGCAAGCACCGGCUAACUUCGUGCCAGCAGCCGCGGUAAUACGAAGGGUGCAAACGUUGCUCGGAAUUAUUGGGCGUAAAGCGCACGU